UGCGUAGGCGGGCUAAUAAGUCAGUGGUGAAAUCUUCCGGCUCAACCGGGAAACUGCCAUUGAUACUGUUAGCCUUGAGUUAGGUUGAGGUAGGCGGAAUGCGUAAUGUAGCGGUGAAAUGCUUAGAUAUUACACAGAACACCAAUUGCGUAGGCAGCUUACUGGACCUACACUGACGCUGAGGCACGAAAGCGUGGGGAGCGAACAGGAUUAGAUACCCUGGUAGUCC
This 229-nucleotide ribosomal RNA is filed under the name uncultured bacterium. RNAcentral's name for it is "partial 16S ribosomal RNA". It matches the Rfam family "Bacterial small subunit ribosomal RNA", at positions 568 to 796 of the family's 1533-position model. The record is from RNAcentral.